RNAcentral lists this non-coding RNA (29 nucleotides) under Mus musculus (house mouse). Lineage: Eukaryota; Metazoa; Chordata; Mammalia; Rodentia; Muridae. The record is from RNAcentral.
UGACUACCACAAAGUAGAUGGACUCCAAG